UUCCCUUGGAGCCUCCAAUAGCCAGCAAAAAGGGACAAUCUUCUGAGAAGGCAACCGAAAACACAGCUCCUGCUUUAAGUUUCGUGGAUGCCACACAUGAAGGUUCAUUAUUGGACAAGUCCCAUAAUUUAACCAUUUUAUCAGUAGAUCCAGUCGCGAGUAGAUUAGGUGCUAAGGGAUUGUAAGAAACUGAGCAGACAGCUUUCUCAUGCGCAUGGAGAGUAAAACUUGCUUUUGAUUCAGAACUAGUCUCUGUAGUGGCAUUCCGGAUAUCAAAACCUUUCACUGUACCAUCCUCUAGACUCACCAAAAACAUGUGCUCUGUAUGUGGAUCCCAUGCCAAGCUCUCCACAUCUGCUGUAACUUGCCACUUGUAACCUGAAUGGGAAGG
Molecule: unclassified non-coding RNA, 391 nt
Filed under: Hevea brasiliensis (rubber tree)
Lineage: Eukaryota; Viridiplantae; Streptophyta; Magnoliopsida; Malpighiales; Euphorbiaceae
Source: RNAcentral